AGCGGGAUCAGCUAAUGGUAAGCUUUUAGACUCAUGAUCUAAACAUGGAGGUUCAAGUCCUUCUCCCGUUA
RNAcentral lists this transfer RNA (71 nucleotides) under Stachyamoeba lipophora. Its description in RNAcentral is "tRNA-Met". It matches the Rfam family "tRNA". Rfam says of the family: Transfer RNA (tRNA) molecules are approximately 80 nucleotides in length. Their secondary structure includes four short double-helical elements and three loops (D, anti-codon, and T loops). Further hydrogen bonds mediate the characteristic L-shaped molecular structure. tRNAs have two regions of fundamental functional importance: the anti-codon, which is responsible for specific mRNA codon recognition, and the 3' end, to which the tRNAs corresponding amino acid is attached (by aminoacyl-tRNA synthetases). tRNAs cope with the degeneracy of the genetic code in two manners: having more than one tRNA (with a specific anti-codon) for a particular amino acid; and 'wobble' base-pairing, i.e. permitting non-standard base-pairing at the 3rd anti-codon position. The record is from RNAcentral. Lineage: Eukaryota; Heterolobosea; Gruberellidae.